UUCGGUGUCAGCGGCGGACGGGUGAGUAACGCGUGGGAACGUGCCUUCUGGUUCGGAAUAACUCAGGGAAACUUGAGCUAAUACCGGAUACGCCCUUUUGGGGAAAGGUUUACUGCCGGAAGAUCGGCCCGCGUCUGAUUAGCUAGUUGGUGGGGUAACGGCCUACCAAGGCGACGAUCAGUAGCUGGUCUGAGAGGAUGAUCAGCCACACUGGGACUGAGACACGGCCCAGACUCCUACGGGAGGCAGCAGUGGGGAAUAUUGGACAAUGGGCGCAAGCCUGAUCCAGCCAUGCCGCGUGAGUGAUGAAGGCCUUAGGGUUGUAAAGCUCUUUUAUCCGGGACGAUAAUGACGGUACCGGAGGAAUAAGCCCCGGCUAACUUCGUGCCAGCAGCCGCGGUAAUACGAAGGGGGCUAGCGUUGCUCGGAAUCACUGGGCGUAAAGGGCGCGUAGGCGGUCUUUUAAGUCGGGGGUGAAAGCCUGUGGCUCAACCACAGAAUUGCCUUCGAUACUGGGAGACUUGAGUUCGGAAGAGGUUGGUGGAACUGCGAGUGUAGAGGUGAAAUUCGUAGAUAUUCGCAAGAACACCGGUGGCGAAGGCGGCCAACUGGUCCGACACUGACGCUGA
This 629-nucleotide ribosomal RNA is filed under the name Methylobacterium sp. H9.69. RNAcentral's name for it is "bacterial SSU rRNA". It matches the Rfam family "Bacterial small subunit ribosomal RNA", at positions 85 to 749 of the family's 1533-position model. The record is from RNAcentral. Lineage: Bacteria; Pseudomonadati; Pseudomonadota; Alphaproteobacteria; Hyphomicrobiales; Methylobacteriaceae.